GAACUUUCUGACAAAUUGAGGACAUGUGAUGUGCAAUUUCAAGUAUAAAUUAAGCUAAUACAAGGUACUAGACUGUUUAAAAAAUGACCAGUCCAGGAGAAAAUAAUUUGUGCCAACUAAGACGUGCUUUUUUAUGGCUAGACGGAUGUGACGAAAAGAAGUUGCACUUGGAAGUGUUGCUGACUUAACAUUUUGGUUUCGCCAUAAACAAGAUAAUUCUAUAUCCUCAUUUAUUCGCUCCGAUUAACUCCCUAUAUUCUCUCUUCAUUUUUACACCUGAUAUGGUCCUGAGCAUUUCCUUGUUCUUGAAAAAUUGCACACAUGGAGUACCCAUAAUUUCAGCUGCCUCAGCAAUCUCUGGGUCUUCAGUAAUGUCAAUUUCAACAAAGUGGACAUGCUGG
RNAcentral lists this unclassified non-coding RNA (401 nucleotides) under Hevea brasiliensis (rubber tree). Lineage: Eukaryota; Viridiplantae; Streptophyta; Magnoliopsida; Malpighiales; Euphorbiaceae. The record is from RNAcentral.